This 486-nucleotide ribosomal RNA is filed under the name uncultured Achromobacter sp. RNAcentral's name for it is "bacterial SSU rRNA". It matches the Rfam family "Bacterial small subunit ribosomal RNA", at positions 74 to 556 of the family's 1533-position model. Lineage: Bacteria; Pseudomonadati; Pseudomonadota; Betaproteobacteria; Burkholderiales; Alcaligenaceae. The record is from RNAcentral.
CGGACUUCGGUCUGGUGGCGAGUGGCGAACGGGUGAGUAAUGUAUCGGAACGUGCCCAGUAGCGGGGGAUAACUACGCGAAAGCGUAGCUAAUACCGCAUACGCCCUACGGGGGAAAGCAGGGGAUCGCAAGACCUUGCACUAUUGGAGCGGCCGAUAUCGGAUUAGCUAGUUGGUGGGGUAACGGCUCACCAAGGCGACGAUCCGUAGCUGGUUUGAGAGGACGACCAGCCACACUGGGACUGAGACACGGCCCAGACUCCUACGGGAGGCAGCAGUGGGGAAUUUUGGACAAUGGGGGAAACCCUGAUCCAGCCAUCCCGCGUGUGCGAUGAAGGCCUUCGGGUUGUAAAGCACUUUUGGCAGGAAAGAAACGUCAUGGGUUAAUACCCCGUGAAACUGACGGUACCUGCAGAAUAAGCACCGGCUAACUACGUGCCAGCAGCCGCGGUAAUACGUAGGGUGCAAGCGUUAAUCGGAAUUACUG